CGUAGGGGCAAGCGUUAUCCGGAUUCAUUGGGCGUAAAGCGCGCGUAGGCGGCCAGCCUGGUCGGGAGUCAAAUCCGGGGGCUCAACCCCCGUCCGCUCCCGAUACCGGCCGGCUUGAGUCUGGCAGGGGGAAGGCGGAAUUCCCGGUGUAGCGGUGGAAUGCGCAGAUAUCGGGAAGAACACCGGUGGCGAAGGCGGCCUUCUGGGCCACGACUGACGCUGAGGCGCGAAGCUAGGGGAGCGAACAGGAUU
RNAcentral lists this ribosomal RNA (252 nucleotides) under uncultured bacterium. RNAcentral describes it as "partial 16S ribosomal RNA". It matches the Rfam family "Bacterial small subunit ribosomal RNA", at positions 526 to 779 of the family's 1533-position model. The record is from RNAcentral.